This is a long non-coding RNA of Hibiscus syriacus, 285 nucleotides long. RefSeq lists it as uncharacterized. The record is from RefSeq and is a predicted model, not a curated record. The transcript is spliced from 2 exons. Lineage: Eukaryota; Viridiplantae; Streptophyta; Magnoliopsida; Malvales; Malvaceae.
AAAUGACAGAAUAACAUAUUAGAGAAACUUUUGCAAAUGAAUUGGUUUGAUACUAGUAAACAAAACUUGAGGACUCAAAGGCAAUGAACUGAAAGAGGAAAUGAUCAUAGAUUUAUAACUUCAGUUAAAUUAUUCCUGGUCUUGACACGAAACCACUGAAAAUUGCAUCAUAGACUCAUAUUAAGUGUUAAUUAGUUGAAAAUUAAAAACUCUUCUAGCAUGAAUCAAAAUUCAACAACCAUACAAACUAAGCAUGAAUCGAAAUUCAACAAUAAGUCAGCAACC